This 473-nucleotide ribosomal RNA is filed under the name uncultured bacterium. RNAcentral describes it as "bacterial SSU rRNA". It matches the Rfam family "Bacterial small subunit ribosomal RNA", at positions 28 to 486 of the family's 1533-position model. The record is from RNAcentral.
GAUGAACGCUAGCGGCAGGCUUAAUACAUGCAAGUCGAGGGGGAUCAGUUGGGUAGCAAUACCUGGCUGUGAGACCGGCAAAACGGGUGAGGAACACGUACGCAACUUUCCCAAAACUGGUGAAUAGCCCUCCGAAAGGAGGAUUAAUACACCGUAACAUAACGAAAUGGCAUCAUUUUGUUAUUAUAGCAGCAAUGCGGUUUUGGAUAGGCGUGCGCCUGAUUAGGUAGUUGGCGGGGUAACGGCCCACCAAGCCUACGAUCAGUAACUGGUGUGAGAGCACGACCAGUCACACGGGCACUGAGACACGGGCCCGACUCCUACGGGAGGCAGCAGUAAGGAAUAUUGGUCAAUGGACGAAAGUCUGAACCAGCCAUGCCGCGUGAAGGAUGAAGGUCCUCUGGAUUGUAAACUUCUUUUAUCUGGGACGGAAAAAAGGGAAGUUCUUUCUCACUUGUACGGUACCAGAAGAA